UACGUAGGAUCCGAGCGUUGUCCGGAUUUACUGGGUGUAAAGGGCGUGUAGGUGGGCCUUUAAGUCGGUGGUGAAAUCUCACAGCUCAACUGUGAAACUGCCGUCGAUACUGGAGGUCUUGAGUGCGGAAGAGGGAAGUGGAAUUCAUGGUGUAGCGGUGAAAUGUGUAGAUAUCAUGAAGAACACCGGUAGCGAAGGCGGCUUCCUGGUCCGCAACUGACACUGAGGCGCGAAAGCGUGGGUAGCAAACAGGAUUAGAUACCCCCGUA
RNAcentral lists this ribosomal RNA (269 nucleotides) under uncultured prokaryote. RNAcentral's name for it is "partial 16S ribosomal RNA". It matches the Rfam family "Bacterial small subunit ribosomal RNA", at positions 524 to 792 of the family's 1533-position model. The record is from RNAcentral.